Molecule: regulatory RNA element, 118 nt
Organism: Clostridium butyricum
Lineage: Bacteria; Bacillati; Bacillota; Clostridia; Eubacteriales; Clostridiaceae
Rfam family: SAM riboswitch aptamer (S box leader)
About the family: The SAM riboswitch is found upstream of a number of genes which code for proteins involved in methionine or cysteine biosynthesis in Gram-positive bacteria. The SAM riboswitch acts at the level of transcription termination control. The predicted structure consists of a complex stem-loop region followed by a single stem loop terminator region.
Source: Rfam
UUUUUAUCAAGAAAGACGGAGGGACUGGCCCUGUGAUGUCUGGCAACCUGGAGGAUAUAUCAUAUAUAUAUUGUUUAAGGUGCUAAUUCCUGCAGAUUUUAUAUCUGAGAGAUAAGAA